GUGGACGAGUGUAACGAAACCCUCCAUGACUGCGAACAAAGAUGUCUGAACACCUACGGCGGGUAUUCAUGUGGAUGUGACGACGGCUUCUCUCUCAACGAUGAUGAGAAAUCAUGUGCAGACUUUGACGAGUGUGCGGAAUCCCUGCAUGACUGUGACCAGACGUGUGUCAACAUUGUUGGUGGCUUCACAUGCGGGUGUGACAGCGGGUUUCGUCUGAACGGAGAUGGGAAGACAUGUUCAGACGUAGACGAGUGUGCGGAGGCCCUGCAUGACUGUGACCAGACGUGUGUCAACAUUGUUGGUGGCUUCACAUGCGGGUGUGACAGCGGCUUUCGUCUGAACGGAGAUGGGAAGACCUGUUCAGAUGUGGACGAGUGUAACGAAACCCUUCAUGACUGUGACCAAAGAUGUCUGAACACCUACGGCGGAUAUUCGUGUGGAUGUGACGACGGCUUCUCUCUCAACGACGACGGGAAAUCAUGUGCAGGUAUCAA
Branchiostoma floridae (Florida lancelet) is the source of this 497-nucleotide long non-coding RNA. RefSeq lists it as uncharacterized. The transcript is spliced from 4 exons. NCBI's taxonomy places the organism in Eukaryota, Metazoa, Chordata, Leptocardii, Amphioxiformes, Branchiostomatidae. The record is from RefSeq and is a predicted model, not a curated record.